UGGGGGAUAUUGCACAAUGGGCGAAAGCCUGAUGCAGCGACGCCGCGUGGGGGAUGAAGGCCUUCGGGUUGUAAACUUCUUUUGCUCUGAACAAGGCAUGCUAAUGGGUGUGUUGAGUGUAGGGGUUGAUUAGCGCCGGCUAACUACGUGCCAGCAGCCGCGGUAAUACGUAGGGCGCGAGCGUUGUCCGGAAUUAUUGGGCGUAAAGGGCUUGUAGGUGGCUGGUUGCGUCUGUCGUGAAAGCUCAUGGCUUAACUGUGGGUUUGCGGUGGGUACGGGCUGGCUUGAGUGCAGUAGGGGAGGCUGGAAUUCCUGGUGUAGCGGUGGAAUGCGCAGAUAUCAGGAGGAGUACCGGUGGCGAAGGCGGGUCUCUGGGCUGUUACUGACACUGAGGAGCGAAAGCAUGGGGAGCGAACAGG
RNAcentral lists this ribosomal RNA (419 nucleotides) under bacterium. RNAcentral's name for it is "partial 16S ribosomal RNA". It matches the Rfam family "Bacterial small subunit ribosomal RNA", at positions 355 to 776 of the family's 1533-position model. The record is from RNAcentral.